Molecule: ribosomal RNA, 305 nt
Filed under: uncultured bacterium
Lineage: Bacteria
Description: bacterial SSU rRNA
Rfam family: Bacterial small subunit ribosomal RNA
Source: RNAcentral
CAUCCUACGGGACGCAGCAGUGGGGAAUAUUGCACAAUGGGCGAAAGCCUGAUGCAGCAACGCCGCGUGAAGGAAGAAGGGUUUCGGCUCGUAAACUUCUAUCAACAGGGACGAAAGAAAUGACGGUACCUGAAUAAGAAGCCCCGGCUAACUACGUGCCAGCAGCCGCGGUAAUACGUAGGGGGCAAGCGUUAUCCGGAGUUACUGGGUGUAAAGGGUGAGUAGGCGGCAUGGUAAGCCAGAUGUGAAAGCCUUGGGCUUAACCCGAGGAUUGCCUUUGGAACUAUCGAGCUGGAGUACAGGGG